UAAAUGGCUGCGGUAAUUUGACCGUACAAAGGUAGCAUAAUCAUUAGUUUAUUAAUUGUGAACUGGAAUGAAUGAUUGGACAAAAGAAAUACUGUUUCUUUUUUAAUUAGAUGAAUUUUAUUUGUUAGUGAAAAAGCUACCAUAAAUAUGAAAGACGAGAAGACCCCGUAGAGUUUUAUUAAAAAUUAAUUUAGGAUUAUUUUAUUGCUUGAUAAUUUAGUUGGGGUAAUUAUAUAAAUUAAUUUAUACAAUUUAUUUACUGAAUGGUAUUUGUUUGAACUAUUUAAUAGGUGUUUGAUUAAAUUACCUUGGGGAUAACAGCAUAAUUUAAUUAGGGAGUUCUUAUCUAUAAUUAAGUUUGUGACCUCGAUGUUGGAUUAAGAAUAUAACGGGGUGCAAAAGCUUUGGUUAUAAGUCUGUUCGACUUUUAAAUUCUUACAUGAUCUGAGUUCAAACCGGCGUGAGCCAGGUUG
RNAcentral lists this ribosomal RNA (473 nucleotides) under Spiralizoros sp. 3 IH-2020. RNAcentral describes it as "partial 16S ribosomal RNA". It matches the Rfam family "Bacterial large subunit ribosomal RNA", at positions 1924 to 2633 of the family's 2925-position model. Lineage: Eukaryota; Metazoa; Arthropoda; Insecta; Zoraptera; Spiralizoridae. The record is from RNAcentral.